GAUGAGCACUGGGGGAGCCUUCUGGCUGAGACGAUUUUCGGACCCUUGGAACCUGAUCUGGAUAACACCAGCGUAGGGAAGUGGUGAAAUUUGCUG
This 96-nucleotide non-coding RNA is filed under the name Salinicoccus halodurans. RNAcentral describes it as "TPP sequence". It matches the Rfam family "TPP riboswitch aptamer (THI element)". From Rfam's summary of the family: Vitamin B(1) in its active form thiamin pyrophosphate (TPP) is an essential coenzyme that is synthesised by coupling of pyrimidine and thiazole moieties in bacteria. The previously detected thiamin-regulatory element, thi box was extended, resulting in a new, highly conserved RNA secondary structure, the THI element, which is widely distributed in eubacteria and also occurs in some archaea. Lineage: Bacteria; Bacillati; Bacillota; Bacilli; Caryophanales; Staphylococcaceae. The record is from RNAcentral.